AUCAAGAACGUAAUACAAGAGAUAAAAGAGAGAAUAGCAGGCAUAGAAGAUACCUUAGAAGAUAGUGACACAAUGAUCAAAGAAAAUUCAAAACAGAAAAAAAAAAAAAAAAAACUUCUAACCCAAAACAUCCAGGAAAUCCAGGACACAAUGAAAAGACCAAACCUAAGAAUAAUAGGAAUAGAAGAGAGUGAAGAUUCCCAGCUCAAAGGACCUGAAAAUGUCUUUAACAAAAUUAUAGAAGAAAACCUCCCCAACCUAAAGAGAUGGCCAUAAAUGUACAAGAAGUCUAUAGAACACCAAAUAUAUUGAACCAGAAAAGAAAAUCUUCUCAUCACAUAAUAAUCAAGACACCAAAUGCACAAAACAAAGAAAGAAUAUUAAAAGCUGCAAGGGAAAAGGUGGAGUCACAUAUGAAGGCAGACUUAUCAAAAUUACACCAGACUUCUCAACAGAGACCCUAAAAGAAGAUCCUGGGAAGAUGUCAUACAGAACACAAUGCCUAAGAGAACACAAAUGCCAACCCAGGCAACUAUACCCUGCAAAACUCUCAAGCAUCAUAGAUGGAGAAGCCAAAAUAUCCCAUGACAAAACCAAAUUUAAACAAUAUUUAAUCUUCCAUUUCAGAGGAUUCUAGAAGGAAAACUUCAACACAAGGAGAAUCCCUAACCAAAGGAAAAAUGAUAUUAAUCAUCUCACAACAAAACCAAAAGGAGAGAAUCACAUACUUAUAAUGCCACCUACAACAACAAACAUAAUAGGAACCAACAAUCAUUGUUACCUCCUUCCAGCCUAGCAAGGCUGGCUGAGACCAUCCACCACUUAGGCAGAGCCACCUGCUGUGCUGUUUCUCAUCCCUCUCCUUUGAUAUACCACUACCUGCUACCUGCCUGAGGCUGAACCGGUUCUCCAAGAUCUUCUAGAGUUAGCACCAAACUGUGAUCUUCAAGAGUUCCUACUACAAGGCUGAUCUGACAACUUCAAAGGAAUUUUGCAUGACUGGGAAUGGGCCUCCCCUCUUCUUUAUAAAGCGUGUUUGCCGACAUUAAAAUUGAACCUUGAGCAGACUAGUUGUCUUGGUUUCAUUAUUUCUCAACCCACCUAGGCUCCCUCUUUUCUUCCAGAUUCCAAGAUGCCUUCCAGGCUCGAACCCGGACAUGAGAGCCACAGGCCAGCCUCAACAAAUCAUCAGUCUUUAAUAUCUGUCAAUAUCAACAGACUCAAUUCCCCAAUAAGACAUAAGCUAACAGACUGGAUAUGCAAGCAGGAUCCAGCAUUUUGCUGCAUACAAGAAACACAUCUCAAUAACAAAGACAGACACAACCUCAGAGUUGAAAGCUUGAAAAAAGUCUUCCAAGCAAAUGGUCCCAAGAAACAAGCUGAAGUUGCCAUCCUAAUAUCUAAUAAAAUAGACUUUCAACCAAAAGUUAUUAAGCAUGAUGAGGAAAAACACCUCAUAUUCACC
This 1465-nucleotide long non-coding RNA is filed under the name Mus musculus (house mouse). RNAcentral's name for it is "long non-coding RNA chr17:12821815-12823280". Lineage: Eukaryota; Metazoa; Chordata; Mammalia; Rodentia; Muridae. The record is from RNAcentral.